UCUUGCAGUGCAUACAUGCCCAGUUAAGCAAAUAUAUCCCUCACUAGUGCAUGCAGUCCAUACAUCAGAAGUUAAACAAAUUCUAUUUUUGAUAUUUGCCAACACUUGUUUAAGCUUCUCUUUUUCUUGAAAGUAGAUCUUAGUAAUGUCAUACACAAGUGUGUUUCUAGAGAUACAAGGCACAUCGGGAUUCAAAUACUUCUGCCAUUUUCUAAUACCAUCAUAUUCAACAAAUGAAAAUGGUAAAUCAUGUUUGAUGACUGCAGAAGCUAACAACUCCCUAGCAACAUUUGGAUCUACUUUCCUAGAUUCAAGUUU
This is a long non-coding RNA of Ipomoea nil (Japanese morning glory), 318 nucleotides long. RefSeq lists it as uncharacterized. The transcript is spliced from 3 exons. The record is from RefSeq and is a predicted model, not a curated record. NCBI's taxonomy places the organism in Eukaryota, Viridiplantae, Streptophyta, Magnoliopsida, Solanales, Convolvulaceae.